Molecule: long non-coding RNA, 216 nt
Filed under: Musa acuminata (dwarf banana)
Lineage: Eukaryota; Viridiplantae; Streptophyta; Magnoliopsida; Zingiberales; Musaceae
Description: long non-coding RNA (MACU_LNC009059)
Source: RNAcentral
GUGCAUCGAAUUUUGUAUAGGAUGAAAACCUUGGUCAUCAGCAUAUGGGGGCUGUGUUCCACUAAGGGAAAAGUUUGAAUGCAAGUACCAGUGAGUCCCAUGGGAGGGACUUGAUCAUGCAGAGGUAUGAUCGAAGUAGCUGGAGAGUUGGACUGCUCUAGAGCUCAUAUUCGCUUAAGGGAGCCCGGCAAGUCAGAGGACAAGGCCGAGUAAGNN